UUAACUCACAUCCACACCGCCAGGGAAUUACGAGCAAUGCUUAAAACCCAAAGGAUUUGACGGUGUCCCACCCCACUAGAGGAGCCUGUUCUAUAAUCGAUGAUCCCCGCUUCACCUAACCAUCCCUCGCCUACCAGUCUGUAUACCUCCGUCGAAAGCUUACCAUGUGAACGCCCGCAGUAAGCUUAAUGAUUUCACCAUCAACACGUCAGGUCAAGGUGCAGCUUAAGGGACGGAAAGUAAUGGGCUACAAUUUCUAAUCUAGAACAAACGAAAGACUAUGUGAAACCCUAGUCAUGAAGGUGGAUUUAGUAGUAAAAAGAAAAUAGAGUGUUCUUUUUAACCCGGCUCUGGGACGCGUACACACCGCCCGUCACCCUCUUCAAUAGUACCCCGUAUGUUCCUAACCCAACACCACGUUUUAGAAGAGGCAAGUCGUAACAUGGUAAGUGUACUGGAAAGUGCACUUGGUAUACUA
This 478-nucleotide ribosomal RNA is filed under the name Rana temporaria (common frog). Its description in RNAcentral is "partial 12S ribosomal RNA". It matches the Rfam family "Bacterial small subunit ribosomal RNA", at positions 852 to 1533 of the family's 1533-position model. The record is from RNAcentral. Lineage: Eukaryota; Metazoa; Chordata; Amphibia; Anura; Ranidae.